This 477-nucleotide ribosomal RNA is filed under the name uncultured bacterium. Its description in RNAcentral is "partial 16S ribosomal RNA". It matches the Rfam family "Bacterial small subunit ribosomal RNA", at positions 30 to 507 of the family's 1533-position model. The record is from RNAcentral.
AUUGAACGCUGGCGGCAUGCCUUACACAUGCAAGUCGAACGGUAACAGGUUAAGCUGACGAGUGGCGAACGGGUGAGUAAUGUAUCGGAACGUGCCCAGUCGUGGGGGAUAACUGCUCGAAAGAGCAGCUAAUACCGCAUACGACCUGAGGGUGAAAGCGGGGGAUCGCAAGACCUCGCGCGAUUGGAGCGGCCGAUAUCAGAUUAGGUAGUUGGUGAGGUAAAGGCUCACCAAGCCGACGAUCUGUAGCUGGUCUGAGAGGACGACCAGCCACACUGGGACUGAGACACGGCCCAGACUCCUACGGGAGGCAGCAGUGGGGAAUUUUGGACAAUGGGCGCAAGCCUGAUCCAGCCAUGCCGCGUGCGGGAAGAAGGCCUUCGGGUUGUAAACCGCUAUUGUCAGGGAAGAAAAGGUUCUGGCUAAUACCUGGGACUCAUGACGGUACCUGAAGAAUAAGCACCGGCUAACUACGUG